Molecule: ribosomal RNA, 253 nt
Filed under: uncultured bacterium
Lineage: Bacteria
Description: partial 16S ribosomal RNA
Rfam family: Bacterial small subunit ribosomal RNA
Source: RNAcentral
UACGAAGGGGGCUAGCGUUGCUCGGAAUUACUGGGCGUAAAGCGCGCGUAGGCGGCUUCGCAAGUCGGGUGUGAAAUCCCCAAGCUCAACUUGGGAACUGCAUUCGAGACUGCGUUGCUAGAGUAUGGGAGAGGGAAGUGGAAUUUCAGGUGUAGCGGUGAAAUGCGUAGAUAUCUGAAGGAACAUCAGUGGCGAAAGCGACUUCCUGGACCAAUACUGACGCUCAUGUGCGAAAGCGUGGGGAGCAAACAGG